Molecule: ribosomal RNA, 28 nt
Filed under: Fusarium fujikuroi
Lineage: Eukaryota; Fungi; Ascomycota; Sordariomycetes; Hypocreales; Nectriaceae
Also listed under: 3 other names
Description: partial 18S ribosomal RNA
Source: RNAcentral
UCCGUAGGUGAACCUGCGGAGGGAUCAU